GUGGGUUAGGUGCCAGACGUUCCUCGAGAGCGGUCGGUGCCGAAGGUAAGCCGUUAAGCCCACCACCUGGGAAGUACGGCUGCAAGGCUGAAACUUAAAGAAAUUGGCGGGGGAGCACCACAAGGGGUGGAGCCUGCGGUUUAAUUGGAUUCAACGCCGGACAUCUCACCGGGGGCGACGGCAGAAUGAAGGCCAAGUCGACGACUUUGCCGGACUCGCCGAGAGGUGGUGCAUGGCCGCCGUCAGCUCGUAUCGUGAGGCGUCCUGUCAAGUCAGGUAACGAGCGAGACCCUCACCCUUAGUUGCCAGCGGAUUCCUUACGGAAUGCCGGGAACUCUAGGGGGACCGCUACCGAUAAGGCAGAGGAAGGAGAGGGCGACGGUAGGUCCGUAUGCCCCGAAUCCCCCGGGCAACACGCGGGCUACAAUGCGCAGGACAGAGGGCUGCGACCCCGAAAGGGGAAGCCGAUCCCUAAACCUGUGCCUAGUUCGGAUCGAGGGCUGAAACUCGCCCUCGUGAAGCUGG
Molecule: ribosomal RNA, 525 nt
Filed under: uncultured candidate division MSBL1 archaeon
Lineage: Archaea; Methanobacteriati; Methanobacteriota
Description: bacterial SSU rRNA
Rfam family: Archaeal small subunit ribosomal RNA
Source: RNAcentral